AUAAGGGCGCACGGUGGAUGCCUUGGCACUAGGAGCCGAUGAAGGACGGGACUAACACCGAUAUGCUUUGGGGAGCUGUACGUAAGCUAUGAUCCAGAGAUUUCCGAAUGGGGGAACCCAACAUCUUUAAUAGGAUGUUACGAUUGUGUGAAUACAUAGCACAUUCGAGGUAGACGCAGAGAACUGAAACAUCUAAGUACCUGCAGGAAGAGAAAGAAAAUUCGAUUCCCUGAGUAGCGGCGAGCGAAACGGGAAAAGCCCAAACCAGCAAGCUUGCUUGUUGGGGUUGUAGGACUCCAAUAUGGUAGUUCUUUCAGAUAGUCGAAUGACUUGGAAAAGUCAGUCAAAGAGGGUAAAAACCCCGUAGACGAAAUGUGGAAGACACCUAGGAGGAUCCUGAGUACGGCGGAACACGAGAAAUUCCGUCGGAAUCCGGGAGGACCAUCUCCCAAGGCUAAAUACUCCCUAGUGACCGAUAGUGAACCAGUACCGUGAGGGAAAGGUGAAAAGCACCCCGGAAGGGGAGUGAAAUAGAACCUGAAACCGUGUGCCUACAACAAGUCAAAGCCCGUUAAUGGGUGAUGGCGUGCCUUUUGUAGAAUGAACCGGCGAGUUACGAUUGCAUGCGAGGUUAAGUUGAAGAGACGGAGCCGCAGCGAAAGCGAGUCUGAAUAGGGCGUUUGAGUAUGUAGUCGUAGACCCGAAACCAUGUGAUCUACCCAUGUCCAGGUUGAAGGUGCGGUAAAACGCACUGGAGGACCGAACCCACGUACGUUGAAAAGUGCGGGGAUGAGGUGUGGGUAGCGGAGAAAUUCCAAACGAACUUGGAGAUAGCUGGUUCUCUCCGAAAUAGCUUUAGGGCUAGCCUCGGAAUUGAGAAUGAUGGAGGUAGAGCACUGUUUGGACUAGGGGCCCAUCUCGGGUUACCGAAUUCAGAUAAACUCCGAAUGCCAUUCAUUCAUAUCCGGGAGUCAGACUGUGAGUGAUAAGAUCCAUAGUCGAAAGGGAAACAGCCCAGACCACCAGCUAAGGUCCCAAAAUAUAUGUUAAGUGGAAAAGGAUGUGGGGUUGCACAGACAACUAGGAUGUUGGCUUAGAAGCAGCCACCAUUUAAAGAGUGCGUAAUAGCUCACUAGUCGAGUGACCCUGCGCCGAAAAUGUACCGGGGCUAAACAUAUUACCGAAGCUGUGGAGUACACCUUUAGGUGUAUUGGUAGGAGAGCGUUCUAAGGGCGUUGAAGGCAGAUCGUGAGGACUGCUGGAGCGCUUAGAAGUGAGAAUGCCGGUAUGAGUAGCGAAAGACAGGUGAGAAUCCUGUCCACCGAAUGACUAAGGUUUCCUGGGGAAGGCUCGUCCGCCCAGGGUUAGUCGGGACCUAAGCCGAGGCCGACAGGCGUAGGCGAUGGAUAACAGGUUGAUAUUCCUGUACCCGUUGUUUUUGUUUGAGCAAUGGAGGGACGCAGGAGGCUAAGGAAUGCAGACGAUCGGAAAUGUCUGUCCAAGCAGUAAGUCUGAAGAGGAGUCAAAUGCUUCUUUUCUUAAGGACAAGCUGUGAUGGGGAGGGAAAUAAUAGUACCGAAGUUCCUGAUGUCACACUGCCGAGAAAAGCUUCUAGUGAGAAAACAGCGGCCCGUACCGCAAACCGACACAGGUAGUCGAGGAGAGAAUCCUAAGGUGAGCGAGAGAACUCUCGUUAAGGAACUCGGCAAAAUGACCCCGUAACUUCGGGAGAAGGGGUGCUGAUCAUACGAUCAGCCGCAGUGAAUAGGCCCAAGCGACUGUUUAUCAAAAACACAGGUCUCUGCAAAAUCGUAAGAUGAAGUAUAGGGGCUGACGCCUGCCCGGUGCUGGAAGGUUA
RNAcentral lists this ribosomal RNA (1858 nucleotides) under Enterococcus faecium. Its description in RNAcentral is "partial 23S ribosomal RNA". It matches the Rfam family "Bacterial large subunit ribosomal RNA", at positions 12 to 1879 of the family's 2925-position model. Lineage: Bacteria; Bacillati; Bacillota; Bacilli; Lactobacillales; Enterococcaceae. The record is from RNAcentral.